This 507-nucleotide ribosomal RNA is filed under the name uncultured Glomus. Its description in RNAcentral is "SSU rRNA". It matches the Rfam family "Eukaryotic small subunit ribosomal RNA", at positions 569 to 1078 of the family's 1831-position model. The record is from RNAcentral. Lineage: Eukaryota; Fungi; Glomeromycota; Glomeromycetes; Glomerales; Glomeraceae.
AGCAGCCGCGGUAAUUCCAGCUCCAAUAGCGUAUAUUAAAGUUGUUGCAGUUAAAAAGCUCGUAGUUGAAUUUCGGGAUCAGUAUGUUGGUCGUGCUUCGGUACGUACUGUCAUUACUGGUUUCUCCCUUCUGAAGAACCUUGAUGUCAUUAAUUUGGUGUCUUGGGGAAUCAGGACUGUUACUUUGAAAAAAUUAGAGUGUUUAAAGCAGGCAUACGCUUGAAUACAUUAGCAUGGAAUAAUGAAAUAGGACGUUUGAUCCUAUUUUAUUGGUUUCUGGGAUCGACGUAAUGAUUAAUAGGGAUAGUUGGGGGCAUUAGUAUUCAAUUGUCAGAGGUGAAAUUCUUGGAUUUAUUGAAGACUAACUACUGCGAAAGCAUUUGCCAAGGAUGUUUUCAUUAAUCAAGAACGAAAGUUAGGGGAUCGAAGACGAUCAGAUACCGUCGUAGUCUUAACCAUAAACUAUGCCGACUUGGGAUCGGAUGAUGUUAAUUUUUUAAUGACUCA